This is a long non-coding RNA of Nicotiana tabacum (common tobacco), 2592 nucleotides long. RefSeq lists it as uncharacterized. NCBI's taxonomy places the organism in Eukaryota, Viridiplantae, Streptophyta, Magnoliopsida, Solanales, Solanaceae. The record is from RefSeq and is a predicted model, not a curated record.
CUCAUAUUUUAAAUAAGAAUUAGAAAAAUGGGUAUAGUUUAGGGGUUCUAAUGCAUUUCUGUAAAUCUUUUUAGGGUUCUUCGCAUUUGUUGACACCCUCAAUGUGUGUUCUUUUUUGUGUCUUGUACCAAAUCCUAUUCUUUUUAAGUAUAUAAUCCUUAAAUUUAUUUAAUCCUAAACAGAGGACCAAUUUUGUUUUUCCCACUUCCUUUUCUCCCAUUGGAACAUCACUGUAAGGAAAACCCCACGAUCAUGGACAUAAAACAUUACUUAAGAACAUCAGGUAAAUAUCUUUCAUCCUUCCUUUGCCCCAUUCUCUUUUCUUCCCUUACGAACAAGAAACCUCAAGAUGGAGACCAAGAAAACGCAAAAUGUUGCAGCUGCACCUGAAACUAAUUAGGCUUUGCGUUUCCAUGAAUUCUUCAGAAAGGUAAAUUAUUUCCAAUUCGAUGGUAGAGUUUUUACUAUUUUCUUGCACUCAUGAUUUAUUAAAUAUUCUGAUUUUAAGAGAUUAAAAGCCAAAAAUAAUUUUAAAAAAAUGAGAAUUUAGUAAAGAAUUUAGAGGUAUGCAUGAUGAUUGGUGAUGAACCAGAGACAACCAUAAUAAGCUUCCAAUCAUCAGCUGCUCAAACUAAAUUUAGAAGCCAAAAUGCAAUGGGAUUAUGGGAAUGUUGGAGAUUAAGUGUACAAAAAAGUUAUACGGCUAUCUCGCAUACGCUUAAAAUGUUAAAACUUUUUAUUCAAGGAGAUAUAAAGAGACUACCUACAAGAGUUUUCAUACAAAGAGGUCUAAAUUGUGAUGAUAAAAUGCACUUAAGGUAUGUGAUGGAAAAAAUACAGCUCAAAGUAUCUAUGUGAUAAAACAUUGUAGCUGUAGGUAGUCUCUAGUAGUGACGUUUAGUUUUAGAUAAAGGCAAAGGUCCUGAAAUGCAAGUUUUUAGAGGUAGAAAUUAUUUGCCUAGCCAGAGAUCGUCCCAAAACUUGAUAAGAGAAAUGUUACCAAUAAUCCACUUAAGUCCAGACUGACAUAAUUAUAACUACCAUGAGAUACAUGGACACCUACAAUUUUGAGUGUUUUCUCCAGUCGACCAUGCCACACAUGACAUUACAUUAUAUAAUGUAAAAAAAUUCCUUUUGAGAUCUUUUUCUUUAUGCAAAAGUAACCAAAUAUUUUUACCAAAUUCAUAUAUAUAAAUUAUCAAAUAACUAUUAGAAUUGCAUCGCAAUAUAAUUUCUUAAUGAACCUAGCCCAUAUAUGCGUGGUUAAAGAGGUUAUUGUUGGGGGUACCGGACAUGGGCCAAGAGGAUUGUCUCCUUCCAUGAAGAAUUAUAAAUGGAAAAAGAAGUUAAGAAAAAAUAAUAUUUAUACGUUGUUUAGACAAAUUCUUAUCUUAUUGAUCGAAUUAGGGCGCAGAUGGUUAAUGCAGAAGUAGAAUAUAUUACAUAAAUAUUAUACUUUCUUUAGUUUUUAGAUAUAUAAAUAUGUUUGUUAUUUUAAUUUCUAUCCGUAAGUUGUGCUGCGAAGACAACACUUUACACUACCUCACUAUGUCUAACUUAUGAGAUAUUCUAUAAUAUGUUUCACAGACAAAACUUAGCUAACAUGAGAUAACUUAUUCCCUAUGGGCAACACUUUAUACUAACUCACUUUCUCUAACAUAUAAGAGAUUCUACAACUCAUGUCUUAUAGGCAAAAUUUAGUUCAGAUAUUUUGAAGCCACGACUUAUUUUCCAUCGGCAAUACUUCAUACUAUCGCACGGUGUAUAAUUUAUAAGAUACUUUAUGACUCUUGCCUCAAAGGUCAUACUUACCACAGUGACUUUAAAAUAACAAUUUAUGCUACCUCACUCCUGAUUUAUAGGCAAAGCAUCAAGGACUUUAAAUCCACAAUUUGUGUCCCGGUGAGCAACAAUUUACCCUACCACUGUGUCCAACUUAUGAGAUACUCUAUAACUCCUGCAUCAAAGGUAAAACUUAGCUCGAGGACUUUAAAACUACAACUUAUGCCCCAUGGGCAACAGUUUACGCUACUCACUGUGUAUAAGUGAAAAGCAAAUGUUACUUCACUCAAAAGGUUAAUUCCACGAUGACUUGAGAACAUGCAUCUCUUGGAAGUUUGAUUCAUAUUAAUCUUUUUCAGGAAUACUAAGGCAUCUUUGAAUUUGAAUCCUGUGUUUCUGACUGAGCGGAUCAGUUCGUAAUUUUCUAGUUAAUUUCUAACACUGCUUCUAUAUUAUUUUCUUCGUUGAUGGUGAUGAUCACCUUGUAAUUCGUCAAUUCACUUAAAAGAGCAAACGGAAAAAGUGAUUUGAGAAAACUAAUGUACUUCACAGGAGAAUCUAUGAUGAUCAACAAUGCCAAUUAUUUUUCAAGUGAUUAAAAUUAGAGUUUGAUAAUAUCUUUUUCUUCUCAAUAUUUCUUUCCUUCCCCUCAUUUUUAGGAGGAUCAACAUCAUCCUCCUCACUAACACUUCAUAUGACUUGAACCUGAACUUCAACCUAUCGAUCGAUUGGUGAUAAAUGUGAUUUACCAUUAGAACAAAUUCCACUUGUCUGAUCUCUUCUAUUUAUUAAGUGAUUAUUCAGCUUGAA